AUUGAACGCUGGCGGCAUGCUUUACACAUGCAAGUCGAACGGCAGCGGGUCCUUCGGGAUGCCGGCGAGUGGCGAACGGGUGAGUAAUGCAUCGGAACGUACCCAGACGUGGGGGAUAACUACGCGAAAGCGUAGCUAAUACCGCAUACGCCCUGAGGGGGAAAGCGGGGGAUCUUCGGACCUCGCGCGAUUGGAGCGGCCGAUGUCGGAUUAGCUAGUUGGUGGGGUAAAGGCCUACCAAGGCGACGAUCCGUAGCUGGUCUGAGAGGAUGAUCAGCCACACUGGGACUGAGACACGGCCCAGACUCCUACGGGAGGCAGCAGUGGGGAAUUUUGGACAAUGGGCGCAAGCCUGAUCCAGCCAUGCCGCGUGAGUGAAGAAGGCCUCGGUGUAAGACUCUUCGUCCGGAGGAAGUACGCACAGGUUAAUACCUACGUGUGGA
RNAcentral lists this ribosomal RNA (443 nucleotides) under uncultured bacterium. RNAcentral describes it as "bacterial SSU rRNA". It matches the Rfam family "Bacterial small subunit ribosomal RNA", at positions 29 to 472 of the family's 1533-position model. The record is from RNAcentral.